AUGAAGACUCCCAUUGAGGUUCUCCUUAAUGAACAACCUGAUUAUACCUUUCUCAAGGUAUUUGGGUGUGCUUGCUGGCCGCAUCUUCGUACAUAUAACAAGCGCAAGCUUGACUUUCGUUCUAAGAAGUGUGUUUUCCUUGGCUAUAGCUCUCUUCAUAAAGGUUACAAAUGUCUUCAUGUUCCCACUAAUCGUGUCUAUAUAUCUCGGGACGUCGUGUUUGAUGAGCAUGUUUUUCCCUUUGCCAACCUUCCUGUGUCCACUGUCGAACCACCAUCCCUGCAUUCAUCCUCUGUUGCUUCUGACCAAUUUGAUGAUGUUGCAUACUCUCCUUUGCUGUUACCUAACCAUGGUGCAGGAACCGGACGUGGAGCUCGUUUGGAGCUGUUGGAGGAUUCACCAUCAUCAUCGUCGUCUUCUGGUGGGCAUGUCGAUCGCCCUCUGUUGCAUGGCAUCGAUUCGCGUGCCCAUGCAUGGUCACCCGACGAGCCCGUCGCACUGAGCAUCUCCACUGCUCGGUCUGCUACGCCAGUGAUCGCCGAGUCUCCAGCGGCUUGGCCUUUUUCGCCAGCGGUCGCCGAGUCGCCCGUGGCUCGGCCCGUCACGCCGUCUUUGCCCGCGGCUCGGGUCCUCACGUCGCCUUCAUCAGCGGAUCGGCCCGCGACACCGGCCACGCCACGGCCCACUAUGCCGAGCUCGCCAUCGGCCCGGUCUGGGAUGCCGGAGUCGCCAGCUGCUUCGUCUGCUCUGCCGGUUUCGCCGGUGGGCCGGCCUUCUUCGCCGACUGAGUCCGAGGCUACCGUGCCUGGCUCCUCGUCACCGGCUGACUCGUCAACGUCGCUGUCCUCCAGCCCAUUGCAGGCUGCUCCGUCGACCUCGGUGGUUCCUGUGUCUCGACCACAUACACGCAGUCGCAGUGGCAUUUUCAAACCUAAGGAACGUACGGAUGGUACGGUUGCUUGGUUGGCUGCUUGUUUGGCUGCUGCUGUUGCGGAUCCAUCUUCUGAGCCUCGCUCAUAUCAGGCUGCCCUGCGCAUUCCACAUUGGCGAGAGGCUAUGGAGCAGGAGUUUCAUGCUCUUCUUCGUAACAAGACAUGGACUCUCGUUCCUCCACCAUCACGGGUAAAUGUUAUUGACUCAAAAUGGGUAUUCAAAGUGAAGAAGCAUUCGGAUGGAUCUAUUGAGCGUUACAAAGCGCGACUUGUUGCUCGCGGUUUUCGGCAGCGUCAUGGUCUUGACUAUGAGGACACCUUCAGUCCUGUCGUCAAGCCUACCACUAUUCGGCUUCUUCUCUCCAUUGCUGUUUCUCGUGGUUGGUCCCUUCGUCAACUUGAUGUGCAGAAUGCUUUUCUACAUGGAUUUUUGGAGGAAGAGGUUUAUAUGAAACAACCGCCUGGUUUCUCUGAUCCUGAUCGUCCUGACUAUAUCUGUCGUCUUUCCAAAGCACUAUAUGGUUUGAAGCAAGCUCCUCGUGCCUGGCAUGCCCGCCUUGCCUCUGCGCUUCGUGCUCAUGGGUUUGUGCCGUCCACUGCUGACACUUCAUUAUUUCUUCUACAGAAGCCAGAAGUCACUAUGUAUCUUUUGGUAUAUGUCGAUGAUAUUAUCCUUGUCAGCUCUUCUCAGUAUGCUGCUGAUGCUCUUGUCUGCUCUCUUGGUGCUGAUUUUGCGGUCAAAGAUCUUGGGAAGCUUCACUACUUUCUUGGAGUUGAGGUCACUUCUCGUGCUACUGGUCUUGUCCUUACGCAGAAGAAGUACUCCUUGGAGUUGUUACAAAAAGCCGGCAUGCUGAAGUGCAAACCGACCACCACACCCAUGUCGUCUACCGACAAGAUAAUAGCUGUUGAUGGUGAGCUUUUGUCUCCUGCGGAUGCCACAGAGUACAGAAGCAUUGUUGGUGGACUUCAGUACUUGACGAUCACGAGACCAGAUAUCUCUUAUGCUGUUAACAGGGUUUGUCAGUAUCUUCAGGCUCCCAGAGAUACUCAUUGGGCUGCUGUUAAACGCAUUCUUCGUUAUGUUUAG
Molecule: ribosomal RNA, 2022 nt
Filed under: Triticum aestivum (bread wheat)
Lineage: Eukaryota; Viridiplantae; Streptophyta; Magnoliopsida; Poales; Poaceae
Description: partial small subunit ribosomal RNA
Source: RNAcentral